AACGCAUAUUGCGCUCUUUGGUAUUCCGAAGAGCAUGCUUGUUUGAGUAUCAGUAAACACCUCAAAACUUUUGAUUUUUUUUUUAAAAAAAAAAAAGUUUUGGACUUGAGCAAUCCCAACACCAAUCUUUUUUAGAUCGGCGGCGGGUUGCUUGAAAUGCAGGUGCAGCUGGACAUUCUCCUGAGCUAAAAGCAUAUUUAUUUAGUCCCGUCAAACGGAUUAUUACUUUUGCUGCAGCUAAUAUAAAGGGAGUUUGACCGUAUUGGCUGACUGAUGCAGGAUUUCACAAGGGUCGGCAACGAUUCUUGUAAAACUCGAUCUCAAAUCAAGUAAGACUACCCGCUGAACUUAA
Molecule: unclassified non-coding RNA, 352 nt
Filed under: uncultured Mortierella
Lineage: Eukaryota; Fungi; Mortierellomycota; Mortierellomycetes; Mortierellales; Mortierellaceae
Description: sequence contains ITS2
Source: RNAcentral